RNAcentral lists this ribosomal RNA (1494 nucleotides) under metagenome. RNAcentral's name for it is "bacterial SSU rRNA". It matches the Rfam family "Bacterial small subunit ribosomal RNA". The record is from RNAcentral.
AGAAUUUGAUCUUGGUUCAGAUUGAAUGCUGACGGCGUGGAUGAGGCAUGCAAGUCGAACGCAGUCACGGGCUUGCUCGUGAUUGAGUGGCGGAAGGGUUAGUAAUACAUGGGUAACCUGCCUUUAACCUGGGGAUAACAGUUGGAAACGACUGCUAAUACCGAAUGAGGUGCGUGGGAGCAAUUCCAAGGCAUCAAAGUGGGGGAUCGCAAGACCUUGCGGUUAGAGAGGGGCCCAUGGGAUAUCAGCUAGUUGGAGUGGUAAUGGCACACCAAGGCUAAGACGUCUAGGCGGAUUGAGAGAUUGACCGCCAACACUGGGACUGAGAACUGCCCAGACUCCUACGGGAGGCUGCAGUCGAGAAUCAUUCGCAAUGGGCGAAAGCCUGACGAUGCGACGCCGUGUGAGCGAAGAAGGCCUUCGGGUUGUAAAGCUCUUUCGCCUGGGAACAAGAGAAGUUGGCGAAUAACCGACUGAUUUGAGGGUACCAGGUAAAGAAGCACCGGCUAACUCCGUGCCAGCAGCUGCGGUAAUACGGAGGGUGCAAGCAUUAAUCGGAUUUAUUGGGCGUAAAGGGCGCGUAGGCGGGAAUGUAAGUCAAAUGUGAAAUCCCGGAGCUCAACUCCGGAACGGCAUUUGAGACUGCGUUUCUUGAGGGUAGGCGGAGAAAAUGGAAUUCCACGUGUAGCGGUGAAAUGCGUAAAUAUGUGGAAGAACACCUGUGGCGAAAGCGGUUUUCUAGCUUAUUCCUGACGCUGAGGCGCGAAAGCAAGGGGAUCAAACAGGAUUAGAUACCCUGGUAGUCCUUGCCUUAAACGAUGUAUACUAGGUGUCGUUGGAUUCAACCCUAACGGUGCCGUCGCUAACGCAUUAAGUAUACCGCCUGGGGAGUACGCUCGCAAGGGUGAAACUCAAAAGAAUUGACGGGGACCCGCACAAGCAGUGGAGCAUGUGGUUUAAUUCGAUGCAACGCGAAGAACCUUACCCAGGCUUGACAUGCAGAGGACAGCGCCAGAAAUGGCGUCUCCCUUCGGGGCUUCUGCACAGGUGCUGCAUGGCUGUCGUCAGCUCGUGCCGUGAGGUGUUGGGUUAAGUCCCGCAACGAGCGCAACCCUUGUCAUUAGUUGCCAACACGUGAAGGUGGGAACUCUAAUGAGACUGCCUAGGUUAACUAGGAGGAAGGUGAGGAUGACGUCAAGUCCGCAUGGCCCUUAUGUCUGGGGCUACACACGUGCUACAAUGGCCGGUACAGAAGGCAGCGAAACCGCAAGGUGAAGCAAAUCCGUAAAGCCGGCCCCAGUUCAGAUUGUCGUCUGCAACUCGACGACAUGAAGUUGGAAUUGCUAGUAAUGGCGUGUCAGCUACAACGCCGUGAAUACGUUCCCGGGUCUUGUACACACCGCCCGUCACAUCAUGGGAGUUGGUCUUACCCGAAGGCUCUGACUCAACCGCAAGGGGAGAGGAGUCUAAGGCAAGGCCGAUGACUGGGAUGAA